AUGAACGCUGGCGGCGUGCCUAAUACAUGCAAGUCGAGCGAACAGACGAGGAGCUUGCUCCUCUGACGUUAGCGGCGGACGGGUGAGUAACACGUUGAUAACCUACCUAUAAGACUGGGAUAACUUCGGGAAACCGGAGCUAAUACCGGAUAAUAUAUUGAACCGCAUGGUUCAAUAGUGAAAGACGGUUUUGCUGUCACUUAUAGAUGGAUCCGCGCCGCAUUAGCUAGUUGGUAAGGUAACGGCUUACCAAGGCAACGAUGCGUAGCCGACCUGAGAGGGUGAUCGGCCACACUGGAACUGAGACACGGUCCAGACUCCUACGGGAGGCAGCAGUAGGGAAUCUUCCGCAAUGGGCGAAAGCCUGACGGAGCAACGCCGCGUGAGUGAUGAAGGUCUUCGGAUCGUAAAACUCUGUUAUUAGGGAAGAACAAAUGUGUAAGUAACUAUGCACGUCUUGACGGUACCUAAUCAGAAAGCCACGGCUAACUACGUG
This 496-nucleotide ribosomal RNA is filed under the name uncultured bacterium. Its description in RNAcentral is "partial 16S ribosomal RNA". It matches the Rfam family "Bacterial small subunit ribosomal RNA", at positions 29 to 507 of the family's 1533-position model. The record is from RNAcentral.